GAGUUUGAUCAUGGCUCAGAUUGAACGCUGGCGGCAUGCCUUACACAUGCAAGUCGAACGGUAACGGGUUAAGCCGACGAGUGGCGAACGGGUGAGUAAUAUAUCGGAACGUGCCCAAUCGUGGGGGAUAACGCAGCGAAAGUUGUGCUAAUACCGCAUAAGAUCUACGGAUGAAAGCGGGGGAUCGCAAGACCUCGCGCGAGUGGAGCGGCCGAUAUCAGAUUAGCUAGUUGGUGAGGUAAAGGCUCACCAAGGCGACGAUCUGUAGCUGGUCUGAGAGGACGACCAGCCACACUGGGACUGAGACACGGCCCAGACUCCUACGGGAGGCUGCAGUGG
Molecule: ribosomal RNA, 339 nt
Filed under: uncultured bacterium
Lineage: Bacteria
Description: bacterial SSU rRNA
Rfam family: Bacterial small subunit ribosomal RNA
Source: RNAcentral